GUUUUACGAGAUAAAAUAUGGUAAUUAUGUUGUGUUUGAGAUAUGAUUGUAUUCUCUAGCAAAAUGGACAUGAUUAGAUAUUGCAGGGCUUGAUUGUGAUAAAAUUGGAUGUGCUUUGAUGAUAUAUUAAGGAGAUUAACUUUUGAAGCAUUUGGAGUGACAUGCUAAACACGAAGACACUAGAAAAAAUUUUGAAAACAUAGAAAAAAGUGGUGGA
Molecule: long non-coding RNA, 217 nt
Filed under: Capsicum annuum
Lineage: Eukaryota; Viridiplantae; Streptophyta; Magnoliopsida; Solanales; Solanaceae
Description: long non-coding RNA (CANN_LNC005117)
Source: RNAcentral